UUUCUCUCUGGUCUUUCUCACUGUUCUGGCCAGACAUCAAUUAUUAAUGAGAUCUGAGCCGGUAAUAAUAACAUAUGUUGGUUCAGCUUGUCAGUGUGAAUUAAAUGUGUAUUUAUUUGUCCGUUCUCGCCGAAAAACCAUCACCGUGUUCUGGAGCGCAGAGCAAUCGAUGUGAUGUUCAGCCCUUAGACUAAGAAAAUCUCACAAGCACUCAUAAACAACCAUUUUCAUCUCUAUAAUAUGUUCUUCUAAUUGUUUUUUGUUGAUUCGCCGCUGUGUUUUAAUGUAAAAGGCUGUAGUUUCUGUAUGUACACUUUUUUUCCCUUGAACAAAUAUUUCAUUUUAACAUGUUAACAGCUCACAAACAUCUGAAUUUAGCUCUUGAUGUGUUCUAAUUGGCGGAUUGUGUGCAAUCGCCGUAAUAUUUUAUUUUUAAAAGGUCUUAAACAAGAAUAAACUCGUUUGUUGUGAGCUCGUUGAGACUGCACGCGCUGUUCGGAGCGGUGACAUAUCUCUCGUCUAUCUCUCUGUUCUCUGUCGCCAGACAUCAAUUAUUAAUAAGCCCUGACCCGCUAAUAAUAAGAUAUGUUGGUUUAGCUUGUCAGUGUGAAUUAAAUUGAUUUAUUUAGUUGUAUUUUUAACCGAUUUAAAAGUGAAACUAAGCGAGACUCCUCCCUCUCAGUCCCGGGAAUUGCUCCUGUAGAGGCGCAUUUUCUCUCAGACAAUGAAAGUCUCAGCACACAUACAUUCCUCACACAGAGCCAAAAAUCCAUAUUCAAAUCAAAAUAGCCGACUUCCUGUUGGUCGUAGCUAAUGACUGUAAAUUAGAAAGUUGUCCGUCUUAAUAAGAACAAUAUAUGUACCGAGUUUGGUGUCUGUAGCUAAAACUAAGCCCCCCACUUUUGACAAAAGGUGGCGCUAUAGAGUGCCUCCUCCACGCCCUUUUAUGACCUUUUGCCAGUGUCUA
Molecule: long non-coding RNA, 967 nt
Organism: Cyprinus carpio carpio
Lineage: Eukaryota; Metazoa; Chordata; Actinopteri; Cypriniformes; Cyprinidae
Source: Ensembl